RNAcentral lists this ribosomal RNA (406 nucleotides) under uncultured bacterium. RNAcentral's name for it is "partial 16S ribosomal RNA". It matches the Rfam family "Bacterial small subunit ribosomal RNA", at positions 30 to 526 of the family's 1533-position model. The record is from RNAcentral.
ACUGAACGCUUGCGGCUGGCCUAACACAUGCAAGUCGAACGAGUGGCGGACGGGUGAGUAAGGUCUGGGAAACUGCCCGAUGGAGGGGGACAACUACGGGAAACGGUAGCUAAUACCGCAUACCAUCGGUUGUGCCCAGACGGGAUUAGCGAGUCGGUGGGGUAACGUCUCACCUGGGCGAAGGUCCCUAGCUGGUCUGAGAGGUUGAGCGUCCACACUGGGACUGGGACACGGUCCAGAUUCUUACGGGAGGCAGGAGUGGGGAAUAUUUGACAAUGGGCGCAAGCCUGAGGCAGCAAUGCCGCGUGUAUGAAGAAGUCCUUCGGGUUGUAAAGUUCUUUCGGCGGGGAGGCGUUACUUGCAGAGGAAGCCCCGGCGAACUCCGUGCCAGCGGCAGCGGUAAUAC